AGGACGAACGCUGGCGGCGUGCUUAACACAUGCAAGUCGAGCGGAAAGGCCCUUCGGGGUACUCGAGCGGCGAACGGGUGAGUAACACGUGAGUAAUCUGCCCCUAGCUCUGGGAUAGCUCCGGGAAACCGGGAUUAAUACCGGAUACGACUGCUACGGACAUCUGUGGUGGUGGAAAGAACUUCGGCUAGGGAUGAGCUCGCGGCCUAUCAGCUUGUUGGUGGGGUAACGGCCUACCAAGGCGACGACGGGUA
Molecule: ribosomal RNA, 254 nt
Filed under: uncultured bacterium
Lineage: Bacteria
Description: partial small subunit ribosomal RNA
Rfam family: Bacterial small subunit ribosomal RNA
Source: RNAcentral